This 446-nucleotide ribosomal RNA is filed under the name uncultured bacterium. RNAcentral's name for it is "partial 16S ribosomal RNA". It matches the Rfam family "Bacterial small subunit ribosomal RNA", at positions 338 to 795 of the family's 1533-position model. The record is from RNAcentral.
CCUACGGGAGGCUGCAGUCGAGAAUCAUUCACAAUGGGGGAAACCCUGAUGGUGCGACGCCGCGUGGGGGAAUGAAGGUCUUCGGAUUGUAAACCCCUGUCAUGUGGGAGCAAAUUAAAAAGAUAGUACCACAAGAGGAAGAGACGGCUAACUCUGUGCCAGCAGCCGCGGUAAUACAGAGGUCUCAAGCGUUGUUCGGAAUCACUGGGCGUAAAGCGUGCGUAGGCUGUUUCGUAAGUCGUGUGUGAAAGGCGCGGGCUCAACCCGCGGACGGCACAUGAUACUGCGAGACUAGAGUAAUGGAGGGGGAACCGGAAUUCUCGGUGUAGCAGUGAAAUGCGUAGAUAUUGGGUAGAACACCGGUGGCGAAGGCGGCUAUCUGGCCAUUUACUGACGCUGAGGCUCGAAAGCAUGGGGAUCAAACAGGAUUAGAUACCCUAGUAGUC